GGUGCCCGGUCAUUUUCAGCUCUGUAGGAUUCCUCCAUCAGAAAAUUUGAGGAUAACUGGAUUAGAGAAUGGCAUUUGAGGCGCAGGCAAGUGUAGACCCUGAACAGAAUGGAAGGGAUCCCCCUACAGGAAAUAGAAGGAGAAGGCGACUUAGCAAAUGCCAAGAUAUUUUUAGGUUGAUGGCAAGAAUUUGAAGAAUUUCCAUUGGAAAGCUUGUUUUACUGCAAUGUAGAAGUGAGCAAAGUGGAAAUGAAGAGGAUGUCUGGAGUUUGAGUAGCCCAUGGAGCAGCUCUGGAGGCCAAGAGAACCACCUGGCCAGAGCCUGCCAGAGCACCUAGGGACGCAGGAUGGGUGAGUACAGUGGUCCCCCCUCACCCAGCAGGCUAACACAUGUAAUGUUUUGCUGUAGGUAAAACAGGGAUGAAACAUUGAAUGAUUAAGCUAGUUGAUUUGUAGAUGCUAUAAAACGUCCUAAAAUAUUGUAUUAGUUGCUUGGUUCACUCUAUAUUCUAAUUUUAUGAGUACACACUUUUUAAAUUCAGCUUCUGAUACUAAUUUUGAAAUCUCACUCUAGAAAUCUGGGCAACUGUCAACCUUGCCAUCUUAUUUCAGCUUCACAAGGCAAAACAACAACUUUCCCAAAGGAAAUAGCUAAAUGGGUUUCUCACAUUUUCUUUUUGAAAGGUAAGCUGUGGCUUGUUUACCCAAUGGAUUACACAGUAAGGAGCUUAUGCAACCAAACAAUUGAAGUUCAGCUUCCUUGUCUGAAGUGAAAAAAUUCAGUUACUAAGGCUAAAUCUUCAGAACCCCAAUUCUAGGAUUGGCUCUUGUCUGCUACUAUAUCAUUCUGACAGAAAACUAAAGGUUAGAACUCUGGCUUAGCGACCAUGAGAGCACUUGUUCCCCUUCACCAAAAUGAAAGUCUCGGAGGGUUGCACAACACUGAAGUGUCUGAGGAGCUGUGUCGCCAUGCUGGACUGCUUUGGAAUUAAUGGUCUCAGCUGAGGCCGAGAUCUGUCUGCCCCUCUGACAUCUCAUGGGCCACCAGCCACUGGGAGUAGCAGUUUUUCAACUCAAAAUGUUGGACAAGAUGAGAAGGCCAAUAUGAAGUGUGCAAGUGUGGGAAAUCAUCAAUGUAAUAUGCUAUGUGUGAUGUUGGUGCUAUGAAAACACGGUAGAGAUCUUUCGUUUAUCUUGUACAGCAAUCCCUCAUUAAAAGUAGAAUUAUUCGUAAUAAAAAUAAAUAAGAAUCACACUGCUCUUAAGUGAUUCUUUUAUCUGUCUCUUUGGGUGAGGAUAAAGAUUUGUGCACAGAAAACAAUUUCAACAAAAAUAUAAAGUAUAAUGAGUAAAUCUAUAAACAUUUUAGAUAUUGUUACAAUGUUCUAAUAUACUAACCACUCUCAGAUAUCACCAUGAUCCUGAUGUUGUCAAUUGUUGGUGAUAAAAUCCUUUGAUUCUUAUAACUCUUUACUGAGGAGGAAUAUAAAGGGAACUUAAUAUUUACAUGCUCAGAAAUUGGGGAGGUAAGAAGCUAUCUAGAAGAGUGUUAUGGGAGGAAAGAGAAAUGGCACCUAAAUAAAAUAUUUAAAAAAAAGAUUUUAUGGAGAAAUGAAACACUGAAUUUUAAAGGACAGGGAGGAGAGUUCGGGAACCCCAGGACUCCUGUUGGAAAAAAUCUCCGUAUUAUGUCCCCAUCCAACCCACCCCCAAAAUUCAUAUGUUAAGAAGAGAACAUUAGGAUAUAUACCAAGAGAUAUGGGAAAUGAGGGCACAGAGAGAAAAGGUUGUGCAAGAAGAUACCACCUACAAGCCAAGGAGAGAGUUCUCAGGAAAACCAAACUCUCAUCUUCAUCUUGAACUUAAAACCUCCAGAGCUAUGAAAAAAAAUAGUUUUUAUUGUUUAAGUCACUCGGUCUGUGGCAUUUUGUUAUGGAAGCCAGAGAAGACUAAUACAGUUCCAUGUGAAUAAGAGAAAAGUUGGGGUCAGGGAUGGUGGGGGAGAGGAGCUUGGAGAGACCCCUGCAGCCAAUCAUGAGGGCUCAGUUAGUGUCCACAGUUUGAGCUCCACCUGGAAAACAAGGAGAGCCCUGGAAAGAUGUAAAAGGGGACAAUCAGAGAAGAGGUUUCAGGUUUGUAAGGGGGAAGCUCACUGGAGGGGGCACAGCUGUGAGUGGUAGACUCUCCAGGAAGCUAAUAAUGCAGAUGUCAAUCACUGAGGUUCUGAACUGAGAAGGUGGUGGGGUGGAUGCCAGAGAGGAUUAUGAGGUUACAGUGAUAGAACUGAAUGACUGGGAGUGUGAGUUGUCAGAAGUCAGGGAGGAUCCCAAUUUCUAACUUGGGGAGCUGGGUGAGUGGAAAUGGCAUUUGGUAUGGAGUGGAAAAUAUGAAAUUCUGUGGUGGAUAUAUGCAUUUUACACGCUCUGGGUGGAAGGGGAAGCAGUAGUGAGCUAAUGAGCGUGCUCAAAGGAAGGCCUCUUUUUUUCAGAAUGGAGGAAGAAGCAUGGGCGGGGGUGUGGCUCUGUAGUGCAGUGCUUGCUUGGCAUGUGCAAGGCCCUGGGUUCCAUCCCCAGCACAGGAAAAGAAGAAAAUAAGGGAGGUGCAUGUGCAAACCCCAAGCUGGGGUCUGAGGCCAGAGGUGGAAGGAUGGGAUAUUGGAAGAUACAAAGGGAUAUUUGCUGUUUUUCAGUUGCCUGCAUCAAACCUUCUUCCGAGUUGCUCCCAGGGUCCUUUUGGAGAGGCAACUUGCAAAAGUGAUGGAAAGCAGGGACUCCGGACGGAGUCUGACCCUCAUUAUUUUGAAUCCAGCUUUUUACCAGACUUAGAAGUGUGACCUCCAACAGAGUAAGUCAGCUAUCUAUGACUCUGCCUCGUUGUAUAUAAAAAGAGACAAUAGUAUCUUCUUUAGAGUCUGUGGGAAGGACUAAUUGUGUUAGGUGUCACUCUUGGCCCUGCACUCCCCGUGGAGUGUGGCCUCAGGAGUAAUUCCUUGUGGCUCUCCCCUUCUAUGGAAGCCACCUCACUCCCUGAAGGCUCACUCCUGGGAUUCUCCACCUUGAAGCAGAGAAGCCAGAGGAGGAGCCAUCCGCCUCAGCACUGAGGUGCAGGUCCUGCCCCAGGCUUCUGGAGGUGUUUGGUGACACCAUCUGCAAGCUUGUUUCCCAGCCUGCCCUCAAUUCUUUGAGUCUCAAUAUUCUUUUGAUAAAUUCUCCAGAAUUAUUUUCUGUUCCAGCUAGGAGUCUCUCUGAUGGAGAAAGAGGGACACAGAUGAUUCUGAACCUAUCUAGGAUUACUAAGUCACAGUGAAGAGCAAGUCUACUUUAGAAAUGUCACCUCUGUAAAGUUACCAGUCCUCCAUGGUGUUAUUUUUUCCCAAAAGUACUCAGUGGCUUCAGUGGAAAUGUAAGAAUCAUGCAAAUGUCAUUUAUUAUCAUCUCCAAAGCAAUCAGGAACCAGUGAAGAGAUGACAUAGUGAUCAGGGUCUGGUUUUUAUUUGUGUGUGUGUGUAAAAAAUUGCAACACAUUUUUCACUAAUCCAUAAAAAAAAGGCUUUUAGUUUUAUUUCUUUAAUAUUGCUUCUGCCUUAAAAGUCUAAAAUGCCACCUUGGAAUUAUCUGUAACCACUUGAAGUUUAUAAAAUGCUAUCAUUAAUGUUAAUAGUUCGAAUUUACCUAACUCUUUUGUUCAAAGCACUAUAUCAUUAAGUGUUUACCUAAGCUAGGAAAGAUUUAUCUUGUCAUUAUAUAAGGGAGUAAAAUGAGAAUUUUUCCAAAAUUUGGCAUGGAUAUAUUUCAUUGAUGAUCAAAUGCCUUUUUUUAUCAUGAACGUCAGCAUCAUCAUUACUUAGAUUUAUUAAUUAUGUUUGUAAAGUACUCCUGCUAAUACUACCUUAUUUGAGCCAAAAUCACUUUUUUUCCCAACUGCACAUACUUUCUAGUCUUUGCAAUGUGUCUUGGAUCUGUGGUAGGUGCUAAGGAUAUACCUAUUAAUUACUAAGACUAAUUAACUACUACAAUUACUAAGGGGGCAUCCCCUAUUCUCAAUACCCUUACAAGCUAGCAAUGGAGUUAGACAAGUAAACUAAUGAGUGCAGCAUCCUGGGAAUAAUUCUAUGCUGGAAUUUGGGAACCAGAGAAGCAUACAGGUGGUCCAAAACCAGAAUGGGGUAAGGAGGGAAUCACAAAUUUCCCAUAGAUUUUUAAAAAACACAGUACAGAGAUAAUUACCUGUUCUAUUUCAUAGAACAAAAACAGGGCUCAGAGUGUUCCAGGGCCCCCCAGUCAAUAAUAGCUAAGGAAUGGAUCAAGAUGACCAUGUCCUACCCCUCUCCUUCCACUAUACAAUGAUGUGUCACAAAGAUCAUUACUGUCAUUUUACCAAUGGUGACAUCACGACUGUAUGAAAUUUAACAGGGAAUAACCAUUAUGUACAACUGUAAUACACCAAUCAAAAAUAUGGAAAAGAGAUUUAAUAGAAUAGGUACAUCCUAUGACUUCACUUCAGACUUGACCCCUCCCAGAUCCGUGAACUCAGAUGGGCUUUUCUGAUUGUGUGAAUGUGGGGAAAUGAAAAAAGAACAACAACAACAAAGGUUAAAGAGAAGGAUGGGUAAUCAUUUAGGAAAGAAGCAAGAGAAAGUUCUAUGUAUUAUUAGAAGAGUCAUCAGAGGAUCUUCCUACAUAACUCACCUGUUGCAGAUUGGUUAUAUUUGGGGGGCUCACAGAUAAUGACUACUUCCACUCUUCAUAAAAUGUUCCGUUUCUAACAUUGUUCCAAAAGCAUUUUUUUAACCAUCUAGUUUUUUGGUCUAACUUCUUAUGCUUUCUCCUUGAAACUGGGAAUAUCUUUGAACUGGGUUCUCAACCUUUUCUGUAACGAUCACCUUGGGUGGUAAUGAACACCAAGAUGAUGGUGUAGCUCUUACUAUGUUCAAAUAUAACCUAAAUUUGGUACUACAUUUCAAUGAUUGCUCAUUUCAAACAUUUUGAUCUAGCCCCCAAGUUUCCAAAUUUCUUUGCUUCCUAGAGAACUGAUUUUUUCCACUGUGGAUGUCUAAGCAGCCUUUAAAACACUCCACAAAACUCCAAAUGGUUAUAUUAGCUGGGUAAGAGAUAAGGGUUAAGGAAAGUAUCCAGGCAUCCAACCACAUUACUGCCAUUUUGUACAAGCUUCAGAUGAAAUACAGUCCCUCAAUAAAGUCCUUCUGUUUCUCUUUCCCUCCCUCUCUUUUCCUCUCCCUAUUUGCUGGAGAGGGGAACCCUAAACCCUGUGGAGCCUCGCCAGCAACACCAAAAGAAUCUCUUGACUAUUUUCCCAGGGAAUUCCUGCCUUAAAUGUCAGCCGAGUACAACUCCCCAGCCAAAGCAGAGUCUGCCUGAAUCUGAAUCAAGGCAAAUGUGCCUGUUAUGCCCAAUAAGAAAACCUGGCUCCAUCCAUAGGCCAUGGGGGUGCAGAGAGAAACUGAUUUCUUUGAAAGUUUCAACAUCCAUUGGAGAGGCAGGUUUUCUCAGAGUCACCUCAUUGAGGAAGAGGAGGUUACAUCAAGCAUUCUCAUCCCUUGCUGGUGUUCAAUUGCUUUUUUUAAAUUUCAUUCCUUUGGUGGUGAAUAUAUCUGGAAACCACCCUGAAUUAUAAACAUAAGGUAAUGCAUCUUUGAAAAGGAAACAAAGCUUCAUUAAGCCCUUUGUUGUGGAGGCUUGGGCUGCUACUGCUGUUGUUGUUCUGUUUAUUUGUUUGUUUUUAAUGAACAUACUGAUCUAUCAGUGCUCUGGGGGAAAUUCAUGAUGCCGAGAUUCAUGAAAAGCAAAAUAAGAUUUAUGAGUUGGGAUUGGAUGUGCCCACCAGCCUGGAGACACUUCCCGUCUGGUACCGAGGCAUUGUUGGCAUUUUUAGUGCCUUUGUUUCAGUCUUCAAUCUCUGAACACAUGAAGAAAUAUUAAAAGUUCUCAGGGCAAGGGUAGGGAAAAGCAGUCCACAAAUCUCAAAGAUAUACAUCAGCUCCAAAGCAAAACAGUAUGGCGUAGAAGAUUAAAAAUUCAGAAACAGAGCACAUUGAACAGCUAGUUCUGGCUAGGUACCCUUGGCAUUUUUCAGUUACUUCAUGAGGCUCUUGGACUAAAAAUCCAUACAGUCAUUGGGUGUGGAAGACCAACUUCAGAUCAAUGUACCCCAUAACUAUCAUUCACCCCACCCCAGAGAAUCACAGCAUUAUACAGUAAGAAAGUCAGGUUUUAAUUAUAAAUCAUUAUUUCAUUUUUAAAUGAACUAAGCCUUUUUAAAGUUGUCCAAAGGGGAAAAAAAAUUGAUUCUGACUCUCAUUUGGGUGGAGGCCCAGUUGCAGGCAGUUCAACUUGGAAGCUAUUACUUACAUUCACCAGGGUGCAACCUCACACUGCCCCACCAGCAACCUGAGCACCUUAUAACUGCUUUCUUCCAUCCUCCAUACGUCAUCACAGACGGUUCUGUUGGAAAUUACUGUCCCUCGUCAGAAGGAAAGCCAGGCAAGUAGCU
This 6510-nucleotide long non-coding RNA is filed under the name Marmota monax (woodchuck). Lineage: Eukaryota; Metazoa; Chordata; Mammalia; Rodentia; Sciuridae. The record is from RNAcentral.